ACGUAGGGUGCAAGCGUUAAUCGGAAUUACUGGGCGUAAAGCGUGCGCAGGCGGUUCUAUAAGACAGAUGUGAAAUCCCCGGGCUCAACCUGGGAACUGCAUUUGUGACUGUAGAGCUAGAGUACGGUAGAGGGGGAUGGAAUUCCGCGUGUAGCAGUGAAAUGCGUAGAUAUGCGGAGGAACACCGAUGGCGAAGGCAAUCCCCUGGACCUGUACUGACGCUCAUGCACGAAAGCGUGGGGAGCAAACAGGAUUAGAUACCCUGGUAGUCCACGCCCUAAACGAUGUCAACUGGUUGUUGGGAGGGUUUCUUCUCAGUAACGUAGCUAACGCGUGAAGUUGACCGCCUGGGGAGUACGGCCGCAAGGUUG
RNAcentral lists this ribosomal RNA (371 nucleotides) under uncultured bacterium. RNAcentral's name for it is "bacterial SSU rRNA". It matches the Rfam family "Bacterial small subunit ribosomal RNA", at positions 525 to 896 of the family's 1533-position model. The record is from RNAcentral.